UGGGCACGGCACAGGUACCGUGCCUUCUUACGACGACCCCAGCGACGCACUGAUAUGGGCCAGAAAAAUAACAAAGCCCAUUCACCCAGUCAUCCAGCCCGAUCUACCAAGCCGUUCUAGCGCCAAAAUACGCCGCUCCAUCGUCUUCUGGCGCCAAAACACAGAACAGAGCAUCCUGAGCGCGCUAAGGCGGCCGAUGCGGCGGAGCUUGCACUCCUCCCUCACGAAGCGUCGCGAGCACGUGCCGGCAGGUCAGUCGGAACGAUUUGGUGAUUCUUCCUUUGGGGCCGUCACAUACCCUUGAUUGAUCGACCUCUUCUCUGAGCGCUCCGCCGGCCAGGCUGUGCUCCUACUUCGUCAUUCAUACCAGCCAAGGAAUUCCACCAGCCAAACCCUCCACACACUGUGAAAAGGUAAUCCAAAAAUCAGGUUGACCACAUGCAUAGAUCAUACUGUUAGUAACUAGAUCCACUUCUCAUUGAUUCUCAGUGUUAUAUGUAUUUCUUUUUGUAGCCUGCAAUAUUUGUUGGCCUCUGCCAUUCUUCAUUGCUCAUCAGAUGGAAAACCAGACCAGUACAAAUUCAAACAAAAUUGGUGAAGAGGACAA
Molecule: long non-coding RNA, 607 nt
Filed under: Triticum aestivum (bread wheat)
Lineage: Eukaryota; Viridiplantae; Streptophyta; Magnoliopsida; Poales; Poaceae
Description: long non-coding RNA (TAES_LNC026983)
Source: RNAcentral